Lutra lutra (Eurasian river otter) is the source of this 178-nucleotide long non-coding RNA. RefSeq lists it as uncharacterized. The transcript is spliced from 3 exons. The record is from RefSeq and is a predicted model, not a curated record. NCBI's taxonomy places the organism in Eukaryota, Metazoa, Chordata, Mammalia, Carnivora, Mustelidae.
AUCACUGGGGGAAAGAGGAGGUCAGACGUGUGUUCUCCAAAUGGGGUUAGUCUAACUCGAGACAGAGACUGUAAGGAAUACUCCCAAGCAGCUGCCCAAACUCUCUUUGUUUCGGGGAAGUUUCCCUGUCUUCUCUGGCCCGACUUGGACUGCUUAACCCCUCCCCCCUUGCUGGCGG